Molecule: ribosomal RNA, 466 nt
Filed under: Filifactor villosus
Lineage: Bacteria; Bacillati; Bacillota; Clostridia; Peptostreptococcales; Filifactoraceae
Description: bacterial SSU rRNA
Rfam family: Bacterial small subunit ribosomal RNA
Source: RNAcentral
GAGUUUGAUUAUGGCUCAGGAUGAACGCUGGCGGCGUGCUUAACACAUGCAAGUCGAACGGGCGAAUUAUAUCGGAGGUCUUCGGGCCGAAGAGAUCAUAAGCUAGUGGCGGACGGGUGCGUAACGUGUGGGUAAUCUGCCUUUGUCAUAGGAAUAACUGCUUGAAAAAGUAGCUAAUACCAAAUAACAUAUCGUAUAGGCAUCUAUAGGAUAUCAAAGAGAAAUCGGACAAAGAUGAGCCCGCAUCUGAUUAGCUGGUUGGUAGGGUAAAAGCCUACCAAGGCGACGAUCAGUAGCCGGCCUGAGAGGGUGAACGGCCACAUUGGAACUGAGACACGGUCCAAACUCCUACGGGAGGCAGCAGUGGGGAAUAUUGCACAAUGGGGGGAACCCUGAUGCAGCAACGCCGCGUGAGUGAAGAAGGCUUUCGAGUCGUAAAACUCUGUUGUAAGGGAAGAUAAUGACG